RNAcentral lists this ribosomal RNA (531 nucleotides) under Triticum aestivum (bread wheat). RNAcentral describes it as "partial small subunit ribosomal RNA". The record is from RNAcentral. Lineage: Eukaryota; Viridiplantae; Streptophyta; Magnoliopsida; Poales; Poaceae.
AUGUUGUCGAUGAACGUGUGCUGGCAACUCAAGUUGUCGGGGAAGUACAUGCCCUCCCUCAACAAGCACCUAUGGAUAAUCCUCUUGCCUUCAUCCCCAGUUUCUCCUGAAGAAGGUGAGAUCCUUGUGGAAGUGGAAGAUAUCACAAAGGCUCCUGCUGAAGAAGCCACUAAAAUCACCACUGGGAAAAAUCUUUUCAGGAUGGACAUGGAGGAGGCGCCCAUCAAUGCUGAUGCACCAAACCUCGACACCCAUCCCGUGGCGUCAAUCUUGCAAGCCCUGUCAAGCAGCUUGGAGUUAGUUGUCUCUCAGCACGUGUAUGGAGCCCCCAGUUCAUCUGGUACAGUGGGGAAAAUUUUUGAUGAAGAGAUCGCCCGGAUCCUGCUCCCCCUCACACAAAGAACUACUGAAGCCGCUGACGCCGCCAAUGAUGCUGAAGAUUUCGCAUUCCUGGAGAUCAUGGCUGUUGGUUUCAAGGUUGUCCAAGAGAGGUACAACCGUAGGUGGAGUAGGGUCCAAGAAGAGUGCUAG